RNAcentral lists this ribosomal RNA (245 nucleotides) under uncultured Alkanindiges sp. RNAcentral describes it as "partial 16S ribosomal RNA". It matches the Rfam family "Bacterial small subunit ribosomal RNA", at positions 524 to 768 of the family's 1533-position model. Lineage: Bacteria; Pseudomonadati; Pseudomonadota; Gammaproteobacteria; Moraxellales; Moraxellaceae. The record is from RNAcentral.
UACAGAGGGUGCGAGCGUUAAUCGGAAUUACUGGGCGUAAAGCGCGCGUAGGCGGCUUGUUAAGUCAAAUGUGAAAUCCCCGAGCUUAACUUGGGCAUUGCAUUCGAUACUGGCAAGCUAGAGUAUGGGAGAGGAAGGUAGAAUUCCAGGUGUAGCGGUGAAAUGCGUAGAGAUCUGGAGGAAUACCGAUGGCGAAGGCAGCCUUCUGGCCUAAUACUGACGCUGAGGUGCGAAAGCAUGGGGAG